UCAAUCGCUGUGAUUAUGUAAUGCAGACUAGGCAGCAAUUGAUUUAAUGAAUGAAGCUGAUUCAUUGCCCUGAAGCAAGCCAAGAAAGAAAAGUAUGAUUCAAUAGCCCUGCUGGGAAGUCGGCAGUGAUGAGUUCCUCACAAGCCAAGAGGAGCUCAGAAGUGUUGGGAUGGCAAUUAGCUUACUGUGUAGAUCACUAAACACAAUGAGCUCUGAUUCUGUACCAGUUCUGAGGCAUGAGAAAGUUACAGAGCACAAGGAUGCCCAGCUUCUGUGUAACUAGGGGGCUGGGGGUGACCACAGCUGCCAUCAGAACUGGCUGCAUGGUGCAGGGGAAAAAUAAUUGACCUGGGUAUCUGAAAACCUGGAUUCCAGUUCUUCCUUCAAACAUCAGCAGACACCUCUCAGUUCCCUAAAUCCUUAUAACUCUAUUCAGCUUUCAGAUUUCACAGUGAGACAAUAUUAUGGAUAUGUUCAUAAUCUUGAAAAAUCUUCUAGGAAUGUCCUAAGACUUGAGACUGGGGAACCCUGGUGUUCUUGGUCCUUGCAAGCACUUGAGUCUUCAUGUUGCAGCUUUUCUCCUGGUUAUGACCCUGAAGCAAAGAACACCAUGCUCUCAUCUUCUGAGGAGAGAUGGGAGUCCAGGCCCCAUUCUCUCACUUACUACCUAUAUGAAAGAAGCUGAAGAAACCACUCUCUCCUGUGAAAUGCCACUGGAACUCUGCCUAGGAAGAGUACUAACUUUGCAAAAAUAUCCUGCAAGCCUGCUUAGAAUAAAUGAACCUUGAGGACAGGGGUCAAAAUAUCAGAGGACAGGGAUGAACUACUCUGUCUGAAAAGAGAAGUGGCUUCAUUUUUUUUCUUUUUUUUUUUUUUUGAGACAGCAUCUCCCUUUGUUGCCCAAGCUGGAAUGCAGUGGUGUGAUCACUGUGGCCUCAACCUCUUGGGCUCAAGCGAUCCUCUCACCUCAGCCUCCCGAGUAGCUGGGACUACAAGUGUGCAUCACUAUACCUGGCUAUUUAAAAAAUUUUUGUUGUAGGCAUGGCAUCUCACUAUGUUUCCCAGGCUGGUCUCAAAAUGCUUGGCUCAAGCUAUCCUCCUGCUUUGGCCUCCCAAAGUGCUAAGAUUACAGAAGUGAGCCACUGUGCCAGCCUGUUUAACUCUUAAAUGGAGGUGACUAAUGGGAGAAUGGGUGGUGGUGGUGGUGGGGUGUGAGAUAGUAUGACACUGUGAAAGUCACAGGUGAAAUUUCUCUGGAAAUUUCUAUUGGAAGAUGGGGUUUGAUCAUACCUACCAGUUUGCCUGGAUAUUCUGAUUCAUUCCAGGUGUUCUGGCAUAAGUAUUAAUACUGCCAACUUUCAUGCCCAAGAAAGUGCCAGUUUGGAGGUAAAUUAUCUGGUAACCAUUCCACAGAGUUGUGAAAAUUAAUGAUAAAACUUGUAUAAACAUGCUUUGUGAAUUAUAAAGCACUGUACAAAUAAAAGGAAUUAAGGGACUUAAGUUCUUUUAUUGAAUUCUCCUGUUAGAGACAAACAAAUGUGUCUAAAAUUGUUAAAAUUGUUAUCAGUCUGUUAUUGGACUGAGAUCUAUUUGGAUUUCCAUAAAAAUAAACCUGCAAGAAAAAUAAUUUUAUUUUAAGGUAGCUUAGCAUGUGCUUAACCACUUUCUAGAUUAAAUUCCUUUCUGUGGUCUGUUCUGGAUUCUCACAUGUAUGCUACAGGUUUUCCGCUGUUUUUGUUUUUUUUCAAAUUUAUGAGUCCUUUCAAUUUGGCAUUUUACAAUUUUGAUGGAUUUUGAAUAUGGGGGAUAUCCUAAUGCCCUAGGAAUUUUUAAAACCUGUUUCAGAAGGGAAAGAGUAUAGAACGAUUAUGUGUUAAGUAUUUACCAUAAAGAAGGCAGAGUAGACUGUCUGCCCUUAAACAGCUAGCUAUAACCAUCUCAUGUGUCCCUUAUAUCAAACCAUAUGGGAGAGGUUUAAUUGAUUUCCCUUUUCGCAGGGAAGGGAAUUGAGGCACACAGAGGUUAGAUAACUUGGUUAACUGGCCACAGCCAGUAAAGAAUUAGGAUUUAAGGUUAUCUAAUCUGAGCCAAAACCUGUUGAUCAUUCAUUCAGAAGUUACAAAUAUAUACUGAAUUCCGACUCUAUGCCAGGCACUGUGUAUAUGAGUACAUUGUGGUAAGUAAAACAGGUGUGAUCCUUAUUUCUAGUUUGGCGUCAUCAUUAUCAGUCAGGCCAUCAUCUAUUAAACAGAUAUCCCAGAUAUUUUGUUAAGUGUUUUGCUUGCAUUAUCAAUUAAAAUUGUUACAACUGUGUAUUACUAUUAUUAUUUCUAUCUUAUAGAUGGGGAGACUGUGGCUCAAUGAGGUCAAACAAUUUGCAAUCAGGGAGUAGGGAUGCUGUGAAUAUGGCCAUCAUCUCACUGGCUCACUGUGAAAAAAAGUCAAAGAAGAAAAACUAAGGCCUUCCUUUCUUGUCACCCAUCAAUGUUGGCAGAGAUGGAAAAAACACAAAAAAUAAACUAGAUCAAAGCUAUACUCAACUUCAAGAUGACUGUUCACUGAGAAAUGUGAAAUUAAUAUGAAAUAUGAAAGAAAACUCUUACUAUGUAAAUGAAUCACAGAAUCCAAGAAAGAUGUGCUGGAUGGGAACUAGAGAUCAUCUAGAUUGCAUUCUGUCUAAUCAGAUCAUAUGAAGGGUCAUCAGCGAACUCCAUCUUGCUAAACAUCUGACAAAGGACUAAAAUCCAGAAUCUACAAGGAACUCAAACAAAUCAGCAAGGAAAAAGCAAAUAAUCCCAUCAAAAAGUGGACUAUGGACAUGAAUACACAAUUCUCAAAAGAAGAUAUACAAAUGGCCAACAAACAUGAAAAAAUGCUCAGCAUCACUAAUUACAAGGGAAAUGCAAAUCAAAACCACAGUGCAAUACCACCUCACUCCUGCCAGAAUGGCCAAAAUCAAAAGAUUAAAAGAAAUAGAUUUUGACAGGGAUGUGGUGAAAACAACACUUUUAACACUGUUGGUGGAAAUGUAAUCUAGUACAACCACUAUGAAAAACAUGGUGGAUAUUCCUUAAAGAACUAAAAGUAGAACUACCAUUUGAUCCAGCAAUCGCACUACUGGGUAUCUACCCAGAUGAAAAGUCAUCAUACAAAAAAAUAUACCUGCACAUGCAUCUUUUUAGCAGCACAAUUUGCAAUUGCGAAAAUAUGGAACCAGCCCAAAUGUCCAUCAAUCAACAAGUGGAUAAAGAAAUUGUGGUGUAUGUAUAUAUAUAUCACAGAAUGCUACUCAGCCAUAAAAAGGAACGGAAUAAUGGCAUUCAUAGCAACCUGUAUGGAAUUGGAAACCAUUAUUCUAAGUGAAGUAACUCAGGAAUGGAAAACAAAACGUCUUACAUUCUCUCUCAUAAGUGGGAGCUAAGCUAUGAGGAUGCAAAUACGUAAGAAUGAUACAACGGACUUUGGAUACUUGGGGAAAGGGUGGGAAGGGGGUGAAGGAUAAAAGGCUACACAGUGGAUACAGUGUACACUGCCCGGGUGAUGAGUGCACCAAAAUCUCACAAAUCACCACUAAAGAACAUAUUCAUGUAACCAAACACCAUCUGUUCCCCCAAAAACCUAUUGAAAUAAGAAACAAAACAACAACAAAAAUAUAUGUGGCUCAAGCCUGCA
Symphalangus syndactylus (siamang) is the source of this 3672-nucleotide long non-coding RNA. RefSeq lists it as uncharacterized. NCBI's taxonomy places the organism in Eukaryota, Metazoa, Chordata, Mammalia, Primates, Hylobatidae. The record is from RefSeq and is a predicted model, not a curated record.